Long non-coding RNA from Erinaceus europaeus (western European hedgehog), 958 nucleotides. RefSeq lists it as uncharacterized. The transcript has 3 exons. The record is from RefSeq and is a predicted model, not a curated record. Lineage: Eukaryota; Metazoa; Chordata; Mammalia; Eulipotyphla; Erinaceidae.
GCCCAGCCGGUUGCGGCCAGUCGCGGCUCCAGGCAGUAGGGCGCCUGGCCCGGGGCGCGCGUGCCCAGGAGAGGAACAUAUGAAAUCUCAAUGAAUGCCUGUGUGUAACUGAAGAGGCUGACUCGAGGGGGAGAGAUGUUUGAGCAUCUGUCUGGUACAUUUCCACACCUCCCACCUAGCCCAUCGGUGCAGCCUUGGGUGCCCUAAUGGGCUUUGAGCCUGGAGUGUGAUGGCGCCAGGACCAGCUUCUCCAGCUCAGGCUACCUGACCCGGCUGGGUAUGAAGCAUGCUGCCUUCUGGUAGAGUUUGUGCAUCUUAGCUGAGUCCCCUGGCUGUCAGAAAGCAAUAAAUUCUCAGUAGAAAGACAGUCCACAUUUCUAGGAAUUCCUACAAGAAAACAAGGAAAAUAUUAACUUUGGAAGAGUAAUGAAGAGCUUUCCAGAAAACAAAUUAAGUUAAAGCAGGAAUAUGAAUAUGGGAUGACCACACUCACUGAAUAUGGGAUCACUGAAUAUGGGAUGACCUCACUCUCAGGCAUAAAUUGAAAAACAAGAUCAGAAGAGAAAACACAAGUAGAACUUGAACUGGAGUUGGUGUAUUGCACCAAAGUAAAAGACUCUGGGCGGGGGGGGGGGGGGGGGGGGGGGUACAGAUGACAGUGGAACUAAUGGGGGUUGUAUUGUUAUGUGGAAAACUGAUGUUUUGUGGAAACUGAUGUUAUGAAAACUGAUGCUAUGUGGAAAACUGAGAAAUGAUAUGCAUGUACAAACUAUUGUAUUUACUGUCGAAUGUAAAACAUUAAUCCUCCAAUAAAUUAAAAAAAAAAGAAAUCCAUGAAAAAAAAAAAAAAGCAGUUCAUUACCACUAAGCUGACCCUACAAGGAAUACUAAAGCCACAUGUUAAAUGAAAAGUAUUAAUCAACAUUACUCAUAAAAGGUAAAUAAAAAAACAACAAUG